This 25-nucleotide ribosomal RNA is filed under the name Equus caballus (horse). RNAcentral describes it as "piRNA piR-eca-4413209". The record is from RNAcentral. RNAcentral also lists the same sequence under 1 other name. Lineage: Eukaryota; Metazoa; Chordata; Mammalia; Perissodactyla; Equidae.
CUACCUGGUUGAUCCUGCCAGUAGU